UGGGGAAUAUUGCACAAUGGGCGAAAGCCUGAUGCAGCGACGCCGCGUGAGGGAUGAAGGCCUUCGGGUUGUAAACCUCUUUCAGCAGGGAAGAAGCGAAAGUGACGGUACCUGCAGAAGAAGCGCCGGCUAACUACGUGCCAGCAGCCGCGGUAAUACGUAGGGCGCAAGCGUUGUCCGGAAUUAUUGGGCGUAAAGAGCUCGUAGGCGGUUUGUCGCGUCUGGUGUGAAAACUCGAGGCUCAACCUCGAGCUUGCAUCGGGUACGGGCAGACUAGAGUGCGGUAGGGGAGACUGGAAUUCCUGGUGUAGCGGUGGAAUGCGCAGAUAUCAGGAGGAACACCGAUGGCGAAGGCAGGUCUCUGGGCCGCAACUGACGCUGAGGAGCGAAAGCAUGGGGAGCGAACA
This 407-nucleotide ribosomal RNA is filed under the name uncultured bacterium. Its description in RNAcentral is "partial 16S ribosomal RNA". It matches the Rfam family "Bacterial small subunit ribosomal RNA", at positions 355 to 774 of the family's 1533-position model. The record is from RNAcentral.